UGCCUGGAUAUCUGGACACUGAAAUGGGUC
RNAcentral lists this non-coding RNA (30 nucleotides) under Mus musculus (house mouse). Lineage: Eukaryota; Metazoa; Chordata; Mammalia; Rodentia; Muridae. The record is from RNAcentral.